CGGCAUUUUUAAGGUGAAUACCGGUAUUAAUACCGGCGAAAAUUUGGACGGUAUCUCGGUUUUCGGUAUACCGGUAUUGCAUUCCCUAGUAGAAUGUAAGUCUGUUGAAAAUAUAAGUUUACUACCUAGUGGUUUAUGUACAAGUAAGUCUAAAAAUUCGUGGGAUUCCUUUACUAAUUGAGUGUAGAUCUAGGCGCAAAAUAUUUUUGACCUUUUUAUAUCCCGUGACCUUCGACUUCACCGCUUCAAUGGCGUUUUUCAUUUGGUCAGUAUUCCAUGUUUUGCUUUACUUCGAAUUUGGAGAUAAUCCUUUCAUUCAUUAUCUUUAAAAUAUCAAAAUACCGGUUGUGUCGAUAGGUUUUAGCAAAUAAAAUACAUUUUUUAUAACUUUCAAAUACUAAAUAGAAAAUGAAAAAUAAAGAAAUGUGACAUUUAUGUCAUAUUGUGCUAUAAAGUUUUAGAGUAGUCCAUUUGCUGACUAAGAAGUAUCGGAUAUUUUGAAGUAACAGUUUUGUUUAUUAUAGCAACGCUACGCCACAUUUUUCGCACUGUGAAGGUCACCGAAAGUGUGUUUGAGGACGAUUUUAGGCUAAUAACCCAAAACAGGCGUUGACCUACUGCGGUUUGGUGUUUGGCGCGUAAGGCAAGAAUGGCAACGUGAAAGAAUUCCGGCACAAACAGAGACAACUAUGGUUAACAGAAAAACCCAGAAUCUUUAUUGAGAAGAGAGAGUAAUAUUACACGUUGGAGGCACAAUCUCCAAGGAGGAUAAAUACUUUGACCCGUUGGGAAAAUUAUUCAACAACCGAUGAAUAAAGGCUUCCUCUUCUUUCUUUCUCAACACAGUCUCUAAUACAAUUUAAAUUUCCUCUUGUCCCUUCUCUUUCUCCUCUCCUUUCCCAAAAAUAACAAUAAUUUACCGUACAAUUGACUGAAACUACUAGGCGAGCCCGGGGCUGUGCUAUUUCUCUCGAUGUUGCGACUUCUAUUUCGGCCUGAGCUUCUCGACGAAUUUUCCUCUUACUGCCUCAAAUAUUUUUCCUCCGACUGCCCAGAUCUUAUCAACCCGCGGAUAUAUUUUCCUCCCUAUCUUAUGCGAUAUAGGAGGGUUUUCUCUGUUCGCAUUCCAGGAGUUCCAUUUCCCGUCAUCUGUGUGUCACACGAUUCCCUCGAUGUCAUCGUGAUUUUCCCCAAAUUGCAAUUUUUUUUUCUUUAAUUUGGAACGGGUGGACGGAAACCCUCGGACCGUAAACAUGACAAGUUAAUGUGUUAUAAACGGAGCGUGUUAUUGAAACGUCGUUACUAUUCAAUUCAAUUGGCGACUCGUGCUAUCUCGUGAUAUUCUCGGUCUAGGAUACCAGGCCAUAUGACAGAUUUAUCGUUUUGUUUUCACAACUUGUGUCGUUACGACAUUCCGAUACAAUAAACAAACCUGGUUCUACACCUGGACGUCCAGUUAACCGGAGGAGACCUGAAUAGGUUCUCCGAUACGCGUCUGUGCAUGGUAUUAACAACGGAUGUCAAUUUUAAUAUACAUAUCUAACAUACAAUAAUCGGAGGAAACCUGAAGAGGUUCUCCCUACGCCCCUGUGCAUAUUAUUGAUAACGAAGGUGGUCGGUGGAGACUCCACAGUACAAUGUCAGACACCAUUACGUCCUGUAUAUUUACAACUGAUCUCAGCCGGCACUGGCCAGUGAUCGACUUGAUCCUGUCUUACCGCCUCUGGAGGAAUAUAGAGUUGGGUCUUAACUUUUUUACUUGGAUUUGGAAUACCGUUUGAAACAGUAUCUACUUCUUCAAGUCAUGGCGUUAAUAGUGACACUUCGAUUUUUGGAUUGUCUGCACAAGGUCUUGAUCAUAAAUAUAAUAUUUAAUUUCACGAAUAUUUUGCAACUGCUAGAGAUCCAGUUAUAAUAAAUCUGAAUUAAAAAAAUUUGGACCAAAUUCUUUUAUGCGAAAAAGUCUGAAGGAUCAGCAUGUUUGCCUUGGAUUCACAAACAUUUAACACAUUAUGCAACAGUAUAUCUUGGAAAAAAUGGCGAUAAUAAUCAAAUUCCAA
RNAcentral lists this long non-coding RNA (2060 nucleotides) under Androctonus crassicauda. The record is from RNAcentral. Lineage: Eukaryota; Metazoa; Arthropoda; Arachnida; Scorpiones; Buthidae.